UCUUCCUUGGUCUAACGGUCAUGAUUUCCGCUUGUCAUCCCAAAAGGAACAAGCGCGGGAGACCGGGGUUCGACUCCCCGAGGGAGAG
Molecule: transfer RNA, 88 nt
Rfam family: tRNA
About the family: Transfer RNA (tRNA) molecules are approximately 80 nucleotides in length. Their secondary structure includes four short double-helical elements and three loops (D, anti-codon, and T loops).
Source: Rfam